This 397-nucleotide ribosomal RNA is filed under the name uncultured bacterium. RNAcentral's name for it is "bacterial SSU rRNA". It matches the Rfam family "Bacterial small subunit ribosomal RNA", at positions 30 to 425 of the family's 1533-position model. The record is from RNAcentral.
AUUGAACGCUGGCGGCAUGCCUAACACAUGCAAGUCGAACGGCAGCACGGGAGCUUGCUCCUGGUGGCGAGUGGCGGACGGGUGAGUAAUGCAUAGGAAUCUGCCCAGUAGCGGGGGACAACUUGGGGAAACUCAAGCUAAUACCGCAUGCGCCCUACGGGGGAAAGCGGGGGACCUUCGGGCCUCGCACUAUUGGAUGAGCCUAUGUCAGAUUAGCUUGUUGGUGGGGUAACGGCCUACCAAGGCGACGAUCUGUAGCUGGUCUGAGAGGACGAUCAGCCACACUGGGACUGAGACACGGCCCAGACUCCUACGGGAGGCAGCAGUGGGGAAUAUUGCACAAUGGGCGAAAGCCUGAUGCAGCAAUGCCGCGUGUGUGAAGAAGGCCUGCGUGUAG